This 350-nucleotide ribosomal RNA is filed under the name uncultured bacterium. RNAcentral describes it as "bacterial SSU rRNA". It matches the Rfam family "Bacterial small subunit ribosomal RNA", at positions 8 to 353 of the family's 1533-position model. The record is from RNAcentral.
AGAGUUUGAUCAUGGCUCAGGACGAACGCUGGCGACGCGCCUAACACAUGCAAGUCGAACGAGAGAGAGGGAGCUUGCUUCCUUGAUCGAGUGGCGAACGGGUGAGUAACGCGUGAGGAACCUGCCUCAAAGAGGGGGACAACAGUUGGAAACGACUGCUAAUACCGCAUAAGCCCACGACCCGGCAUCGGGAAGAGGGAAAAGGAGCAAUCCGCUUUGAGAUGGCCUCGCGUCCGAUUAGCUAGUUGGUGAGGUAACGGCCCACCAAGGCGACGAUCGGUAGCCGGACUGAGAGGUUGAACGGCCACAUUGGGACUGAGACACGGUCCAAACUCCUACGGGAGGCAGCA